RNAcentral lists this ribosomal RNA (512 nucleotides) under uncultured bacterium. RNAcentral's name for it is "bacterial SSU rRNA". It matches the Rfam family "Bacterial small subunit ribosomal RNA", at positions 19 to 518 of the family's 1533-position model. The record is from RNAcentral.
AUGGCUCAGGAUGAACGCUAGCUACAGGCUUAACACAUGCAAGUCGAGGGGCAGCAUGAAUCAAGCUUGCUUGAUUUGAUGGCGACCGGCGCACGGGUGCGUAAACGCGUAUCCAAUCUACCCUAUUCUCAGGGAUAGCCUUGCGAAAGUAAGAUUAAUACCUGAUGGUCUGGUUUCACGGCAUCGUGAAACCAGUAAAGAUUUAUCGGAAUGGGAUGGGGAUGCGUCCGAUUAGCUUGACGGCGGGGUAACGGCCCACCGUGGCGACGAUCGGUAGGGGUUCUGAGAGGAAGGUCCCCCACACUGGAACUGAGACACGGCCCAGACUCCUACGGGAGGCAGCAGUGAGGAAUAUUGGUCAAUGGCCGUAAGGCUGAACCAGCCAAGUAAGCGUGAGGGAUGACGGCCCUACGGGUUGUAAACCUCUUUUGUUCGGGAAUAAAGUCAGGUACGUGUACCUGUUUGUAUGUACCUUACGAAUAAGCAUCGGCUAAUUCCGUGCCAGCAGCAGC